This 424-nucleotide ribosomal RNA is filed under the name uncultured bacterium. RNAcentral describes it as "bacterial SSU rRNA". It matches the Rfam family "Bacterial small subunit ribosomal RNA", at positions 355 to 796 of the family's 1533-position model. The record is from RNAcentral.
UAACGAAUAUUCCGCAAUGCGCGAAAGCGUGACGGAGCAAUGCCGCGUGCAGGAUGAAGCGGUUUCGCCGUGUAAACUGCUGUCAGGGGCGAGAAAUACUGAUCAGCCCCAGAGGAAGGACCGGCUAAACUCGUGCCAGCAGCCGCGGUAAGACGAGUGGUCCUAGCGUUAGUCGGAAUCACUGGGCUUAAAGGGUGCGUAGGCGGGCUCGUAAGUGCCUUGUGAAAGCCCCCGGCUCAACCGGGGAACUGCAGGGCAUACUGCGAGCCUUGAGGAAACUAGAGGCGGGCAGAACGAUAGGUGGAGCGGUGGAAUGCGUAGAGAUCUAUCGGAAUGCCGAAGGUGAAGACAGCCCGCUGGGGUUUUCCUGACGCUGAGGCACGAAAGCGUGGGGAGCAAACAGGAUUAGAUACCCGCGUAGUCC